This 716-nucleotide ribosomal RNA is filed under the name uncultured archaeon. RNAcentral describes it as "bacterial SSU rRNA". It matches the Rfam family "Archaeal small subunit ribosomal RNA", at positions 52 to 776 of the family's 1478-position model. The record is from RNAcentral.
UGCGAGUUAACGUAGCAAUACAUGGCAUACGGCUCAGUAACACGUAGUCAACAUGCCCAGGGGACGUGGAUAACCUCGGGAAACUGAGGAUAAACCGCGAUAGGCCAAGAUUUCUGGAAUGAAUCAUGGUUUAAAUCUAUAUGGCCCCUGGAUUGGACUGCGGCCGAUCAGGCUGUUGAUGAGGUAAUGGCCCACCAAACCUGUAACCGGUACGGGCUCUGAGAGGAGGAGCCCGGAGAUGGGCACUUAGACAAGGGCCCAGGCCCUAUGGGGCGCAGCAGGCGCGAAACCUCUGCAAUAAGCGAAAGCUUGACAGGGUUACUCUGAGUGAUUUCCGCUAAGGAAGUCUUUUGGCACCUCUAAAAAUGGUGCAGAAUAAGGGGUGGGCAAGUCUGGUGUCAGCCGCCGCGGUAAUACCAGCACCCCGAGUGGUCGGGACGAUUAUUGGGCCUAAAGCAUCCGUAGCCGGUCCUGCAAGUCCUCCGUUAAAUCCACCCGCUCAACGGUUGGGCCGCGGGGGAUACUACAGGGCUAGGAGGCGGGAGAGGCAAGCGGUACUCGAUGGGUAGGGGUAAAAUCCACUGAUCCAUUGAAGACCACCAGUGGCGAAGGCGGCUUGCCAGAACGCGCUCGACGGUGAGGGAUGAAAGCUGGGGGAGCAAACCGGAUUAGAUACCCGGGUAGUCCCAGCUGUAAACGAUGCAGACUCGGUGAUG